GGAGAGGUCGCAUAGAGGCCCAGUGCAGAGGUUUGCUAAACCUCCGUCCCGCAAAACGGGACACGCGGGUUCGAAUCCCGCCCUCUCCGCCA
Molecule: transfer RNA, 92 nt
Filed under: Candidatus Roizmanbacteria bacterium CG10_big_fil_rev_8_21_14_0_10_36_26
Lineage: Bacteria; Candidatus Roizmaniibacteriota
Description: tRNA-Ser
Rfam family: tRNA
About the family: Transfer RNA (tRNA) molecules are approximately 80 nucleotides in length. Their secondary structure includes four short double-helical elements and three loops (D, anti-codon, and T loops).
Source: RNAcentral